This 483-nucleotide ribosomal RNA is filed under the name uncultured bacterium. Its description in RNAcentral is "partial 16S ribosomal RNA". It matches the Rfam family "Bacterial small subunit ribosomal RNA", at positions 30 to 507 of the family's 1533-position model. The record is from RNAcentral.
AUUGAACGCUAGCGGGAUGCUUUACACAUGCAAGUCGAACGGCAGCGCGGACUUCGGUCUGGCGGCGAGUGGCGAACGGGUGAGUAAUGUAUCGGAACGUGCCCAGUAGCGGGGGAUAACUACGCGAAAGCGUAGCUAAUACCGCAUACGCCCUACGGGGAAAAGAGGGGGUUGUUAGGACUUGCAACAAUUGGGGGGCCGAUAUCGGAUUAGCUAGUUGGUGAGGUAACGGGUCACCAAGGCGACGAUCCGUAGCUGGUUUGAGAGGACGACCAGCCACACUGGGACUGAGACACGGCCCAGACUCCUACGGGAGGCAGCAGUGGGGAAUUUUGGACAAUGGGGGGAACCCUGAUCCAGCCAUCCCGCGUGUGCGAUGAAGGCCUUCGGGUUGUAAAGCACUUUUGGCAGGAAAGAAACGUCGCGGGCUAAUACCCCGUGGAACUGACGGUACCUGCAGAAUAAGCACCGGCUAACUACGUG